This 446-nucleotide ribosomal RNA is filed under the name uncultured bacterium. RNAcentral describes it as "bacterial SSU rRNA". It matches the Rfam family "Bacterial small subunit ribosomal RNA", at positions 15 to 507 of the family's 1533-position model. The record is from RNAcentral.
GAUCAUGGCUCAGAACGAACGCUGGCGGCAUGCCUAACACAUGCAAGUCGAACGAGACCUUCGGGUCUAGUGGCGCACGGGUGCGUAACGCGUGGGAAUCUGCCCUUGGGUUCGGAAUAACAGUUAGAAAUGACUGCUAAUACCGGAUAAUGUCUUCGGACCAAAGAUUUAUCGCCCAGGGAUGAGCCCGCGUAGGAUUAGCUAGUUGGUGAGGUAAAGGCUCACCAAGGCGACGAUCCUUAGCUGGUCUGAGAGGAUGAUCAGCCACACUGGGACUGAGACACGGCCCAGACUCCUACGGGAGGCAGCAGUGGGGAAUAUUGGACAAUGGGCGAAAGCCUGAUCCAGCAAUGCCGCGUGAGUGAUGAAGGCCUUAGGGUUGUAAAGCUCUUUUACCCGGGAUGAUAAUGACAGUACCGGGAGAAUAAGCCCCGGCUAACUCCGUG